This 254-nucleotide ribosomal RNA is filed under the name uncultured bacterium. RNAcentral's name for it is "partial 16S ribosomal RNA". It matches the Rfam family "Bacterial small subunit ribosomal RNA", at positions 524 to 776 of the family's 1533-position model. The record is from RNAcentral.
UACGUAGGGUGCAAGCGUUGUCCGGAAUUAUUGGGCGUAAAGAGCUCGUAGGCGGUCUGUCGCGUCGGUCGUGAAAACCGGGGGCUUAACCCUCGGCGUGCGGGCGAUACGGGCAGACUUGAGUACUGCAGGGGAGACUGGAAUUCCUGGUGUAGCGGUGGAAUGCGCAGAUAUCAGGAGGAACACCGGUGGCGAAGGCGGGUCUCUGGGCAGUAACUGACGUGAGGAGCGAAAAGCGUGGGGGAGCGAACAGG